This is a non-coding RNA of Camponotus floridanus (Florida carpenter ant), 90 nucleotides long. Lineage: Eukaryota; Metazoa; Arthropoda; Insecta; Hymenoptera; Formicidae. The record is from Rfam.
AUAUAAUACACAAUGAUGACUAGCAUAGUUCAACUGAUACAACUCUGAUGACAACUUAAUAUAGUCUUUCGUCCCUAACUGAUAUUUCUU